CCAAUAGCGUAUAUUAAAGUUGCUGCAGUUAAAAAGCUCGUAGUUGAAUUUCGGGACUAAUAUGUCGGUCGUGCCUCGGUACGUACUGGUUUAUUGGUUUCUCCUUUCGGAAGAACCAUGAUGUCAUUUAUUUGGUGUCGUGGGGAAUCAGGACUGUUACUUUGAAAAAAUUAGAGUGUUUAAAGCAGGCUCACGCUUGAAUACAUUAGCAUGGAAUAAUGAAAUAGGACGUUUGAUUCUAUUUUGUUGGUUUCUAGGAUCGACGUAAUGAUUAAUAGGGAUAGUUGGGGGCAUUAGUAUUCAAUUGUCAGAGGUGAAAUUCUUGGAUUUAUUGAAGACUAACUACUGCGAAAGCAUUUGCCAAGGAUGUUUUCAUUAAUCAAGAACGAAAGUUAGGGGAUCGAAGACGAUCAGAUACCGUCGUAGUCUUAACCAUAAACUAUGCCGACUAGGGAUCGGAUGAUGUUAAUUUUUUAAUGACUCAUUCGGCGCCUUACG
RNAcentral lists this ribosomal RNA (498 nucleotides) under uncultured Glomeromycotina. RNAcentral's name for it is "partial small subunit ribosomal RNA". It matches the Rfam family "Eukaryotic small subunit ribosomal RNA", at positions 591 to 1092 of the family's 1831-position model. Lineage: Eukaryota; Fungi; Glomeromycota. The record is from RNAcentral.